GAUGAAGAACGCAGCGAAAUGCGAUAAGUAGUGUGAAUUGCAGAAUUCAGUGAACCAUCGAAUCUUUGAACGCACAUUGCGCCCGGCAGUAAUCUGCCGGGCAUGCCUGUCCGAGCGUCAUUUCUCCCCUCGAGCGCAGCUUUCCCCCCCGGGGGAGGGCCGCGCCCGGUGUUGGGGCGCUACGGAGGAGCCCAGCGCUCCCCCGUAGGCCCCGAAAUGUAGUGGCGGUCCCGCCGCGGCGCCCCCUGCGUAGUAGUUUUACAACUCGCAUCGGGUCCCGGCGGAGGCCAGCCGUCAAACCCCCCAACUUCAAUAGUUUGACCUCGGAUCAGGUAGGGUUACCCGCUGAACUUAAGCAUAUCAAUAAGCGGAGGA
This 375-nucleotide unclassified non-coding RNA is filed under the name soil metagenome. RNAcentral describes it as "partial contains 5.8S ribosomal RNA, internal transcribed spacer 2, and large subunit ribosomal RNA". The stretch from base 1 to 120 matches the Rfam family "5.8S ribosomal RNA", at positions 35 to 154 of the family's 154-position model. The record is from RNAcentral.